RNAcentral lists this ribosomal RNA (275 nucleotides) under uncultured Sporacetigenium sp. RNAcentral's name for it is "partial 16S ribosomal RNA". It matches the Rfam family "Bacterial small subunit ribosomal RNA", at positions 338 to 630 of the family's 1533-position model. Lineage: Bacteria; Bacillati; Bacillota; Clostridia; Peptostreptococcales; Tepidibacteraceae. The record is from RNAcentral.
CCUACGGGUGGCUGCAGUGGGGAAUAUUGCACAAUGGGCGAAAGCCUGAUGCAGCAACGCCGCGUGAGCGAUGAAGGUCUUCGGAUCGUAAAGCUCUGUCCUCAAGGAAGAAUUUUGACGGUACUUGAGGAGGAAGCCCCGGCUAACUACGUGCCAGCAGCCGCGGUAAUACGUAGGGGGCUAGCGUUAUCCGGAAUUAUUGGGCGUAAAGGGUGCGUAGGCGGUCCUACAAGUCAGAGGUGAAAGGCUACGGCUCAACCGUAGUAAGCCUUUGA